UGUUAAUAAUUUAUAUAUAGAAUAUUUUGAAAGWUAUUUUUAUAUAAUAUUAACAUAAUUCAUAUUACUAUAUUUUUUUAGUAUAUGAAAUUUUACUUUGAGAAAAUUAGAGUGCUUAAAGCAGGCAUAUGCCUUGAAUACUCCAGCAUGGAAUAAUAUUAAAGAUUUUUAUCUUUCUUAUUGGUUCUAAGAUAAGAAUAAUGAUUAAUAGGGACAGUUGGGGGCAUUUGUAUUUAACAGUCAGAGGUGAAAUUCUUAGAUUUGUUAAAGACAAACUAAUGCGAAAGCAUUUGCCAAGGAUGUUUUCAUUAAUCAAGAACGAAAGUUAGGGGAUCGAAGACGAUCAGAUACCGUCGUAGUCUUAACCAUAAACUAUGCCAACUAGAGAUUGGAGGUUGUU
Molecule: ribosomal RNA, 400 nt
Filed under: Cryptosporidium environmental sequence
Lineage: Eukaryota; Apicomplexa; Conoidasida; Eucoccidiorida; Cryptosporidiidae
Description: SSU rRNA
Rfam family: Eukaryotic small subunit ribosomal RNA
Source: RNAcentral